GGCGGUAUAGCUCAGCUGGUUAGAGCAUCGGAAUCAUAAUCCGAGGGUCGUUGGUUCAAGUCCGACUGCCGCUA
This 74-nucleotide transfer RNA is filed under the name Verrucomicrobiota bacterium. Its description in RNAcentral is "Verrucomicrobia bacterium (activated sludge metagenome) tRNA-Met". It matches the Rfam family "tRNA". Rfam says of the family: Transfer RNA (tRNA) molecules are approximately 80 nucleotides in length. Their secondary structure includes four short double-helical elements and three loops (D, anti-codon, and T loops). Lineage: Bacteria; Pseudomonadati; Verrucomicrobiota. The record is from RNAcentral.